Molecule: long non-coding RNA, 4379 nt
Organism: Lutra lutra (Eurasian river otter)
Lineage: Eukaryota; Metazoa; Chordata; Mammalia; Carnivora; Mustelidae
Exons: 3
Source: RefSeq, a predicted model, not a curated record
GUCUCGCGGACCCCGCCCUUCCCUGCGGGGGGGCCCCGGCGCACGCUAACCCUGGCCGCGCCGCCGGGGGUGGGGGGCGCCUGGCCUCCGACGUGCCCGCCCAUGCUGCGCUGGGGGUUCCCGCAGGCCCCGCCUCCCCCCACCCCGGCUCCCGGGCGUAGAGCCCUGGGGGGGGCCGAGGUGUGCCCCCUACAUCGGGGCCAGGUGUGGACCGCACCUUCUCUCUCCUCCCCGCCCCCACUCCCCCACUGCCCUGUAUCUGGGGCUCACGGAACAGCCGCGCUGUGCCCGCUCCUAGGCCUCGGGAGGGCUCCUCGAGGCUGUCCCAGCUCACGCCCGGCCAUUCCCAGACCUCUUGGCUGUACAGAGACCCGCCGCCUCCCCAGGUGGCUCUGCCCCCUGGUCCCCCACUGCCAGGAGCAGGAGGGGAGGGGGUGCAGGUCCCAGGACAGGCUCUCAAGUCCCUGGAGCUCUUUGCUGUGCCCGCCCUGCCUCCCUGUCACAGACAAGUCACCUUUUGGCCAGAAUACUGCAGCCGACAGCUGGCUCCAGGCCGCAUCGUGGCCUCUAACGCCGCCCUGCUUGCCUGCUCUGAGCUCAGGGCCGGGGCAGGCCGCUGAUCCCGCUGUCUCCCCUCCUCCCUCUGCCCCUCUUCUGUGCUAAGCCUAGCCCAGUGUGGCCUCCACUGCCGUGGCCCUCUCCCCCUUCCCUCCCCCUUCUCAGUCAGUCACAGCGCAGGCCUUGUUCCGGAAGCAGCCUUGGUGUUCAGACCUUCACAUCCCCCUGGGUGUGUGCACACGGGUCAGUCGCGAGUGACGGCAGCUUGGGCCUGGGGGUCUGAGCUGCUAGGAUCAGUGGCCUCGGAGACACAGCACCCCUGCCACCCCCAGCCCCCUUCCCUCCUCCCUACUCCCCUGUGCCAAGCGGAGCGCUCUGCAGCUCCCCGGCGUCUGGGCGUGUUUGUGCGUGAGGCGAUCAGUGAGGGUGUCCUGUGGCUCGGGCGGCCACGUGAGAGAGAUGGGCACAAGUGCCGCGAAGGUGAGUACGCGCUGGUCUCAAGCAGGUUCACAAAAACGGCUCACCCUGCGUGCCCCCCUCCACCAGCCUGUGCCCUAGUAGCUCUAGGCCACACGGAGUCCAGAGCCCAAAUGGAGACACACACACACACACACCUCCCCCAGCUCCGCAAGCUUUCUACACCAUGGCCAAGAGCCACACCUGCCCAGAAGUGGGGAAGCUGGCACUGCGUGCCCCCAGUGCCUGUCCAUGGGUCUGUCACACCCUCCCCCACCUCCCCAAGAUGUCACGCAGGUUGGGCCGGAUUGUGAAGGAGGCGGCCUCCACGGUCGUCAAGAAAGCGGCUUUGGCCCAGCCACGUGAACCUCCGGGGCGGCCCAGGACAGGGAGUGGGGGAGAAGGUACUCCCCACUUCUCAUCCCAGGAUGGGUGGGGCCCGAGAGAACUGGCAGCAAGACCAGGGCCAGGCGUAUCCCCCUGGGGACGGCGGGCUUCUUAGGCUGAACUCAAGGGUAGGUGGAGGCCAGACCACUCAGCCGUGGGUCUCCCCACACCGUCUCACCUUCCCGCCUCGUCGGCGCCAGUCUGGAACUGCAGCGUGCCCACGCUGGGGGCCGGAGCAGGGCUUGGGCCCGCUUGCGUCCAGAGACCCACCCAGAGCUCGGUCUGGCCUUAUAGCUCAACACUCAGCCACUCCCUCCCUCGUAAGAAAGUCUUUUAAGUUAGCAGUUGAAGAGUGGAAGGUAGGUAACCAGACUGGGAGUUUUCUGGAAGGCGUCUUUCUUUCUUUUAUUAUGGUUUUUCUCAUCAUCAUCACCAUCACCGUUGUUUUUUAUUUUAUUAUGGUUUUGAUUUUAUUUUUCCUCCCCCUUUCUCUGCGAAUCCAUUCCUUCCGGCACAUUCUUUGGUUGGUUUUCCCACUCCUGCCUGAUUCCCCCAGGCACUUUUGGUUGGGGUGGCUGGUCAAGAAAUGGGAGAGAGGGCCCCGCUUGUCUGGUAUCAGAGGAGGGGAUGUCGGCAUUUCACUUUAAGUGAGGCCGGAGGGUCAUUCUGUUUGAAGUAAGCCGUUGGGAGAGGCCUCUGAGGUGUCUGGUAGUCUGAUAUGUUUGAUAGGAUAGGACCCUCUGUUUCUCCUCUGGUCGCCCUGGCAGGCAGUGUGCACGUACAAGUACUCUCUAGACAUGUGCUCACUGAACAAAUGGGCUGCCAUGGUAGUAGGGGUUCUGUGUGCCUUGACAUAGGCACUAUGUGUGACAUAGGCGACAUGUGUUCUGUGUGGCUUGCCUUGAAGCAAAGCCAGUGGCCUCCCUGGGCCUCUCUGCAGGCAAGAAAAAUUCCGGAGCCACGGGCAGUUGAAGUCACGUAGCUCCAGCCGUCCUCAGCUGGACUGAGGCUGAGGUCUCAGUCCCCAUUCUCAAGUCAAGACAGCCCCUGGACAGCUGAGCCUGGGUUCGAAUCCUGGCUCUAGCCGCAUGCCCUUGGCAAGGCAGCUUUGCUGUUUCUAGCCUCCGUUUUCUUCCUCUGUGAAGUGGGAGGUGAUAUGUGAAAAGCACCCAGGGUAGGUGGGGUCUGGCACCCAGUAGGUCUACAAGCGGUGAUCAUAGAAGACCAGGCAGCUGGGCUUUGAAAUUAAUUUCCCUGCGGGUAAGAUGGAGUGAGGCUGGAGGGAUGAUAGUUCUGGCCAUUUAUGCAUCUUAAGAAUUAAAUGACGUUCCAUGAGGGGACACAUGCUGAGUGUAAAGGGCUAGGUUAUGGGGUGUGCACAGGGUAAAUGGCCUUAAUACAGUCUCCUAGUAGGUGCGGAGCAGAUGGGGGCUUAAUGUUCUUUUCAUAAAGCCCCCGAACACGCCCAGUAGGUGCUUAAUAUGUGUGAACUAUCGCUGCUAUUUAACAAAGCCCUUAGCACACUUCUUGGCACACAUUAGGUGCUUCAUAAAUGCUCUUUUAAUUCUAAGCACGGAUUGGCAUGGUGCUGAGCACAUAAUUGGCGUGCAAUGAACGGAUGCCAUCAGUUGUUUAUAACAAGCUUCCCUGGUGCCCAGAACCGGGGGCUGCGGUUGUUCUGUGAAGCCUUUGACAGAACAGCUGGUAUACAGUAAUGCUCAGUAGGUGGUGCUUUCUUAAAGGAGGUUGGCCUGGCUUUAGGCACAUGGUAGUUGCUCAGAUAAGAGCCGUUGUCUCUGAGGAGGCCUAGCAUGGUUUCAGGUACACAGCCUUUGGCCCUGGGUGUGCAAACAGUAGGUGCCCAAGAAGUGAAAACUGUUACUGUUUACAUAGAAGGCCCUUAGCACAGUCCUCGGCACAGAGUAGGUGCUUAAGCGAGGACUAUCGAUGUGCUACAAGGCCCUUAGCACAGGGCCUAGCACAUGGUAGGUGUUCGGUAGGUAGGGGCUUUUCUCAGUAAGGCCUGUAGCACAGGGCCUGGCACGUAGUAGGUCCUCAUUCCAUGGGGACUACUGCUGUUAACUGAUAAAGUGCCUGGUGUGGAGAGGUUCUGUGUAAAUGGCAACUGGUGUUUUUAUCUUCAAAGGGCUAGCAAUGCCCAGCCCAUAGUAGGUCCUCAAUAAAUAAGACUUGGCCAUUAAUCUGUGAUGGCCAUAGUGUGGUGCUGGAAGAACAAUGAUCUGUAAAGACCUUGGCACACAGUAGGUGCUCAAAACACAGACAUGAUUUUGUCUCCCAGGUGAGGCUGAGAGGGUGGUCCUAGCUGAAGUAAGCCAUGGGGUGGCCUCCAGGACCCCUGAGAGAACAGGUGUCCAGUACACAGAUGCUUUUACUGUCAACCUGCAAAGCUCUGACACUGUGUCUGGCACACAGUAGGUGCCCAAUAAAUGGGACUUUUGCUGCUUUUACCCUGGCAGUCCUACUCCCCUGGCGCACAGUAGGUGUUCAGCAAAUAAAUGCAUUUACUGUUAUCCUGUAAAGCUCAGUGCCAUGCCUAGCACACAGUAGGUGCCUGAUAGAUGGGGCUUUUCGUGUAAUUACCUGGCAUGGUGCCUGGCACAUAGUAGGGGUUCAGUAAACGGAUGCUUCUACUGUUAGUCCGUGACACCCCCGGCACCGUGCUGAGCUCACGAUAGCUCUCCUAAAGGGGGAUGUUCCCACUGUUCCCCAGGCCCCGCUGCGUGCCGGGCAGGUGCAGCCCCCGGCGCUGAGCCCGUGUUCUUGGCCAGCCCUCCCGGCCCCCAUCCCCACCCGUCCAUCUCACCUUUGGUUGACACCCGCUUUUUUUGGGUUCGACUUCUCUUUGGUUUGGUUCUGUUUUGUUUGUUAUCAUCUUCUGUUUUAUUUUCUCUUUCCCAUCUUUUGUUUCCCCGUCCCCUCCCCGCCCAUCCCGCCUCCCCUCCCCACCCCCACGUUCU